AAACCUGCUGAGCAGCUACAGAGCAGGGCCAAGGAGGAUUCCUCUGGACUGGAGCCUUUCUCUCUGGAUGGCCAAGAUGCCCAGGACUUCUUCAGCCAAAGGAGCAAGAAUGGAUUAAUGCCGACUUCUCUUCCAGGAGAGGG
RNAcentral lists this long non-coding RNA (143 nucleotides) under Crocodylus porosus (Australian saltwater crocodile). RNAcentral's name for it is "lncRNA (ENSCPRG00005003142.1)". The record is from RNAcentral. Lineage: Eukaryota; Metazoa; Chordata; Crocodylia; Crocodylidae.